GACGAACGCUGGCGGCGUGCUUAACACAUGCAAGUCGAACGGAAAGGCCCUGCUUUUGUGGGGUGCUCGAGUGGCGAACGGGUGAGUAACACGUGAGUAACCUGCCCUUGACUUUGGGAUAACUUCAGGAAACUGGGGCUAAUACCGGAUAGGAGCUCCUGCUGCAUGGGGGGGGUUGGAAAGUUUCGGCGGUUGGGGAUGGACUCGCGGCUUAUCAGCUUGUUGGUGGGGUAGUGGCUGACCAAGGCUUUGACGGGUAGCCGGCCUGAGAGGGUGACCAGCCUCCUUGGGACUGAGAUACGGCCCAGACGCCUACGGGAGGCAGCAGUGGGGAAUAUUGCACAAUGGGCGGAAGCCUGAGGCAGCAACGCCGCGUGCGGGAUGACGGCCUUCGGGGUGUAAACCGCUUUCGCCUGUGACGAAGCGUGAGUGACGGUAAUGGGUAAAGAAGCACCGGCUAACUACGUG
RNAcentral lists this ribosomal RNA (468 nucleotides) under uncultured bacterium. RNAcentral describes it as "partial 16S ribosomal RNA". It matches the Rfam family "Bacterial small subunit ribosomal RNA", at positions 28 to 507 of the family's 1533-position model. The record is from RNAcentral.